This 587-nucleotide ribosomal RNA is filed under the name Nostoc sp. C2.3SOIL. RNAcentral's name for it is "bacterial SSU rRNA". It matches the Rfam family "Bacterial small subunit ribosomal RNA", at positions 122 to 741 of the family's 1533-position model. The record is from RNAcentral. Lineage: Bacteria; Bacillati; Cyanobacteriota; Cyanophyceae; Nostocales; Nostocaceae. RNAcentral also lists the same sequence under 2 other names.
GAAUCUGGCUUCAGGUUCGGGACAACCACUGGAAACGGUGGCUAAUACCGAAUGUGCCGCAAGGUGAAAGAUUAAUUGCCUGAAGAUGAGCUCGCGUCUGAUUAGCUAGUAGGUGUGGUAAGAGCGCACCUAGGCGACGAUCAGUAGCUGGUCUGAGAGGAUGAUCAGCCACACUGGGACUGAGACACGGCCCAGACUCCUACGGGAGGCAGCAGUGGGGAAUUUUCCGCAAUGGGCGAAAGCCUGACGGAGCAAUACCGCGUGAGGGAGGAAGGCUCUUGGGUCGUAAACCUCUUUUCUCAGGGAAGAAAACAAUGACGGUACCUGAGGAAUCAGCAUCGGCUAACUCCGUGCCAGCAGCCGCGGUAAUACGGAGGAUGCAAGCGUUAUCCGGAAUGAUUGGGCGUAAAGCGUCCGCAGGUGGCUGUGUAAGUCUGCUGUUAAAGAGUGAGGCUCAACCUCAUAAGAGCAGUGGAAACUACACGGCUAGAGUGCGUUCGGGGCAGAGGGAAUUCCUGGUGUAGCGGUGAAAUGCGUAGAGAUCAGGAAGAACACCGGUGGCGAAAGCGCUCUGCUAGGCCGCAACU